Molecule: long non-coding RNA, 5594 nt
Filed under: Homo sapiens (human)
Lineage: Eukaryota; Metazoa; Chordata; Mammalia; Primates; Hominidae
Description: HSALNT0398203
Source: RNAcentral
AUUCACCAAGUUUCACGCAUCUGCUGGCCUCCCCCUGUGAUUUCCUCUAAGCCCCAGCCUCAGUUUCUCUUUCUGCCCACAUACUGGCCACACAAUUCUCAGCCCCCUCCUCUCCAUCUGUGUCUGUGUGUAUCUUUCUCUCUGCCCUUUUUUUUUUUUUUAGACGGAGUCUGGCUCUGUCACCCAGGCUAGAGUGCAGUGGCACGAUCUUGGCUCACUGCAACCUCUGCCUCUUGGGUUCAAGCGAUUCUGCUGCCUCAGUAGCUGGGAUUACAGGCUCACACCACCACACCCGGCUAAUUUUUGUAUUUUUAGUAGAGACGAGCUUUCACCAUGUUGGCCAGGCAGGUCUCAAACUCCUGACCAAGUGAUCCACCCGCCGGCCUCCCAAAGUGCUGAGAUUACAGGCCUGAGCCACCAUGCCCGGCCUCUGCCCCUCUUUCUUUUUUAGGGGGCAGGGAAAGGUCUCACCCUGUCACCCGCCAUCACAGCUCACUGCAGCCUCCACCUCCUGGACUCAAGUGAUAAGUGAUCCUCCCGCCUCAGCCUUUCCAGUAGCUGAGACUACAGGCGCAUACCACUAGGAUUAAUUUGGGGGGGGGGGUGGUGUGUGUGGAGAUGGGGUCUGGCUUUGUUGGCCAGGCUGAUGUGGAAUUCCUGGGCUCAAGCGAUACUCCCACCUUGGCCUCCUGAGUAGCUGAGACUACUGGCUAGCACCACCACACCCAGCUUUUUAUUAUUAUUUGUAGAGACAAGGUCUCAAUAUGUUGCCCAGGCUAGUCUCAAACCCCUGGGCUCAAGAGAUCCUCCGCCAUCGGCCUCCCAAAGUGCUGGGAUUCCAGGCAUGGGGCUCCGAGCCCGGCCUGCCCAACUUAAUAAUACUUGUUCCUCAGAGUUGCAACUCCAAAUGACCUGAGAUUGGUGCCUUUAUUCUAAGCUAUUUUCAUUUUUUUUCUGCUGUCAUUAUUCUCCCCCUUCUCUCCUCCAGUCUUAUCUGAUAUCUGCCUCCUUCCCACCCACCCUGCACCCCAUCCCACCCCUCUGUCUCUCCCUGUUCUCCUCAGGAGACUCUGGCUUCCUGUUUUCCUCCACUUCUAUCUUUUAUCUCUCCCUCCUACGGUUUCUUUUCUUUCUCCCCGGCCUGCUUGUUUCUCCCCCAACCCCCUUCAUCUGGAUUUCUUCUUCUGCCAUUCAGUUUGGUUUGAGCUCUCUGCUUCUCCGGUUCCCUCUGAGCUAGCUGUCCCUUCACCCACUGUGAACUGGGUUUCCCUGCCCAACCCUCAUUCUCUUUCUUUCUUUCUUUUUUUUUUUUUUUUUUUUUUUUUUUUUUUGAGACAGAGUCUUGCUCUGUUGCCCAGCCUGGAGUGCAGUGGUGCAAUCUUGGUUCACUGCAACCUCCACUUCCCAGAUUCAAGCAAUUCUCCUGCCUCAGCCUCCAGAGUAGCUGGGAUUACAGGCGUGUCCCACCACACCCGACUAAUUUUUGUAUUUUUGGUAGAGACAAGGCUUCGGCAUUGUUGGCCAGGCAGGUCUCGAACUCCUGACCUCAAGUAAUCUGCCUGCCUCACCCUCCCAAAGUGCUGGGAUUACAGGCAUGAGCCACCUCACCCGGACCAUCCCUCAUUCUCCAUCCUUUCCUCCAGUUGUGAUGUCUACCCCUCAUGUUUCCCAACAAGCCUACUGGGUGCUGAAUCCAGGCUGGGAAGAGAAGGGAGCGGCUCUUCUGUCGGAGUCUGCACCAGGCCCAUGCUGAGACGAGAGCUGGCGCUCAGAGAGGGGAAGCUUGGAUGGAAGCCCAGGAGCCGCCGGCACUCUCUUCUCCUCCCACCCCCUCAGUUCUCAGAGACGGGGAGGAGGGUUCCCACCAACGGGGGACAGGCUGAGACUUGAGCUUGUAUCUCCUGGGCCAGCUGCAACAUCUGCUUGUCCCUCUGCCCAUCUUGGCUCCUGCACACCCUGAACUUGGUGCUUUCCCUGGCACUGCUCUGAUCACCCACGUGGAGGCAGCACCCCUCCCCUGGAGAUGACUCACCAGGGCUGAGUGAGGAGGGGAAGGGUCAGUGUGCUCACAGGCAGGGGGCCUGGUCUGCUGGGCCUGCUGCUGAUUCACCGUAUGUCCAGGAGCUGGAGCAGCACCCUCUCAGAGCCUCAGUUUCCCCAGAUGUCAAUGAGAGAAUCAGCAUCAGCCACAUCUCCCACCUGAAGAAUCGAACCUUGAGUUCUCACCUUUAAGAAUUUUUUUUUUUUUUUGAGACAGUGCCUUGCUCAGUCGACCACGCUGGAGUGCAGUAGCACGAUCAUCAAUCACUGCAGCCUCCAACUCAAGCAACCCUCCUGCCUCAACCUCCUGAGUAGCUGGGGCCACAGGCACCCACCACCAUGCCUGGCUAAUUCUUUCUUUUUUGAGAUGGAGUCUCACUCUGUCGCCCAGGCUGGAGUGCAGUGGCACCAUCUUGGCUCACCGCAACCUCUGCCCCCCGGGUUCAAGCAAUUCUCCUGCCUCAGCCUCCUGAGUAGCUAGAAUUACAGGCGCACACCACCACACCAGGCUAAUUUUUGUAUUUUUAGUAGAAACGAGGUUUCACCACGGUGGUCAGGUUGGUCUCAAACUCCUGACAUCAGGUGAUCCACCCGCCUCGGCCUCCCAAAGCACUGGGAUUACAGGAGUGAGCCACCAUGCCUGGCCAUAUUUUAAACUUUUUUGUAGAGAUGGGGUCUUACUAUGUUGCCCAGGCUGAUCUCAAACUCUUGGGCUCAAGCAGAUCCUCCUGCCAAAGCUUCCCAAAGUAGUUGGAUUACAGGUGUGAGCCACCACGCCCCACCAACCUAUGAAGAUGUCUAAGCAGACAGGGUGCCCUAUCUCACCACAUCCCCAGUCAGAUCCAGAGGUGGGACAAGGAUGGGAAGGAGGUUCCAGAACAAAGGCUGGCAGGGAGUCGUAUGGGACAGGAGCUGACCCAGCAACCAUCCACAGAGACAUCCUGGAGCCUGGGAAGGAGAAGGACAAAGAGCCCCCUUUUUUAAAUUUUUUUUAUGUUUUUGAGACGGAGUCUCACUCUGUCACCCAAGCUGGAGUGCAGUGGCACAAUCUUGGCUCACUGCAACCUCCACCUCAUGGGUUCAAACGACUCUCCUGCCUCAGCCUCCUGAGUAGCUGGGACCACAGGUGCACACCACCAUGCCUGGAUAAUUUUUGAAUUUUUGGUAGAGACGGAGUUUCACCAUGUUGGCCAGGCAGGUCUCGAACUCCUGACCUCAAGUGCUCCGCCCACCUUGGCCUCCCAAAGUUCUGGGAAUACAGGCGUGAGCCACUGCAACCAGCCAGUAGCCCCCAUCUUUGCCCCUCGCUGAGCCCUACUGGAUGUUCUUGGUUAUGCGACAGUUUCCCCAUCUAUUAAAGAGAAACCCCUAUAGCAGAGGGGAGGAUGAGGUUGGAAAAGCAGGAGCAUUGUUAUGCUAUUCUUGUGGGGUCUGGGAAGCAGACAUCUGGGUGGAUGUUUGGGGGGUGCUGGGCUUAGUUGGGGAAGUAGGGGGGCCCCUGGGGCUGACAGGGACUGGAAGCUCUGAGCUGGCCAGAGGGAUGUUGCAAUCCUGCCAGGGUCUUGUCUAUGCUGUCCUUUUCACAACCAUCCCCCUACUGCCAGGCUGACACGUGGUUGCGGGGGCACAAGGCCAGCCAACCUAGAGUCUGAGGCUAGGCGGAGGACACCCUCCCCACCAGCUGCCAGGGUCACUGGCGGUCAAAGGCAGCUGGUGGGGAAGGCAUUGGACUCCAGCCUUGGGGGACGGAUGUAGUGAUGGUGGGAAGCAGGCUUGGUGCCAGGAGGGGCGUCAGAGGGUGAAUAAAAGCAGAUAGAGUGUUUGGGGGAGGUAGCCAGCCAAAGGGGGUGAGGCCCGGUGGAAGGGAAGAAGGGACAUACACGCAGAGCUUUGCAGCUGAGGGUUUUAAUUUUUUGAGAUGGGGUCUCUGUCCCACCAGGCUGGAGUGCAGUGGCACAAUCACAGCUCACUGCAGCCUCGAACUCCUGGGCUCAAGCAAUCUUCCUACCUCAGCCUCUUGAGUAGCUGGGACUACAGGCAUGCGCCACCACGCUCGGCUAAUUUUUGAACUUUUUUGUAGAGAUGAGGUCUCCCUAUAUUGCCCAGGCUGGUCUCGAACUCCCAGGCUCAAGUGAUCCUCCCUCUUCAGCUUCCCAAAGUGCUGGGAUUACAGGCAUGAGCCACCAUGCCUGGCUAAUGCAGGUGAGGUUUUUGCAGUGUCAUCCAGCUAAGGCGACCCGUUCCCCUCCCAAAAAAGGGAGACUGAGAACCAUGAAGUUAAGAGCCCAGAGAAUAUCACGGUGGUCUGGGGUGCUUCAAGGGCUGGUCUGGAAUAAAUUGGAGGUGGCACGCAGGGUAGGAGCGCCGGGCCAACUGGGAGACCCAGCAACAUAAAGGAAAAGUUGUUGGGGCUGAGGAGGCUUGCUGAGAGAGGGGAAGUGAGGGAAAGAGGUGAUCUAGGGACACGGUGUGAAUGAGGGGGGGAUGAGAUCACAGGGUUAUUACUGGGAGACCCCUGAGGGAAGAUGGCCACAGGGACAGGACAAGGCUGUCUUCUUAAGGGAGGAGACCACCCCUCAUAUUGUCUUAUGCCCAAUUUCUGCCUCCAAAGAAAGAAAAAGUAAAAACUAAAAGGCAGAAAUGAAAUCCACAAGCAGACAGCCCGCGCCACACCCUGGGCCUGGUGGUUAAAGAUUGACCCCUGACCUAAUCCGUUAGGUUAUCUAUAGAUUACAGACAUUGUAUAGAAAAGCACUGUGAAAAUCCCUAUUCUGUUUUGUUCCGAUCUAAUUACCGGUGCAUGCAGCCCCCAGUCACGCAUCCCCUGCUUGUUCAAUCGAUCACGACCCUCUCACGUGCACCCACUUAGAGUUGUGAGCCCUUAAAAGGAACAGGGAUUGCUCACUCGGGGAGCUCGGCUCUUGAGACAGGAAUCUUGCCCAUUCCCCGAACGAAUAAACCCCUUCCUUAACUCAGCGUCUGAGGAAUUUUGUCUGCGGCUCCUCCUGCUACAUUCUGAGUGGGGAAAGGGACUAAGGUGGUCUGAGGACCCCACAGAGUCAGGAAGAUUGAGAGGUGAGAGUGCUGAACGGGGAGGGGCUUUGGGGCUAAGGGAAGUGCCCGGGACCCCACCUGACCCCAACGCUCACGGGACAGGGGCAGAGGAGAAAAACGUGGGUGGACAGAGGGAGGCAGGCGGUCAGGGGAAGGCUCAGGAGGAGGGAGAUCAACAUCAACCUGCCCCGCCCCCUCCCCAGCCUGAUAAAGGUCCUGCGGGCAGGACAGGACCUCCCAACCAAGCCCUCCAGCAAGGAUUCAGGUUGGUGCUGAGUGCCUGGGAGGGACACCCGCCUACACUCUGCAAGAAACUCAAAAAGGGAGAUGAGGGGAUCGUGGGAGGGAGGUAGGGAGGGAGGAGGGUGCCACUGAUCCCCUGAACCCCUGCCUCUGCCUCCAGAGUGCCCCUCCGGCCUCGCCAUGAGGCUCUUCCUGUCGCUCCCGGUCCUGGUGGUGGUUCUGUCGAUCGUCUUGGAAGGUAAAAGUGGGAUGGGAGA